RNAcentral lists this ribosomal RNA (851 nucleotides) under Klebsiella pneumoniae. Its description in RNAcentral is "partial 23S ribosomal RNA". It matches the Rfam family "Bacterial large subunit ribosomal RNA", at positions 373 to 1230 of the family's 2925-position model. Lineage: Bacteria; Pseudomonadati; Pseudomonadota; Gammaproteobacteria; Enterobacterales; Enterobacteriaceae. The record is from RNAcentral.
CCGUACACCAAAAUGCACAGGCUGUGAACUCGAAGAGUAGGGCGGGACACGUGGUAUCCUGUCUGAAUAUGGGGGGACCAUCCUCCAAGGCUAAAUACUCCUGACUGACCGAUAGUGAACCAGUACCGUGAGGGAAAGGCGAAAAGAACCCCGGCGAGGGGAGUGAAAAAGAACCUGAAACCGUGUACGUACAAGCAGUGGGAGCACCUUCGGGUGUGACUGCGUACCUUUUGUAUAAUGGGUCAGCGACUUAUAUUCUGUAGCAAGGUUAACCGUAUAGGGGAGCCGCAGGGAAACCGAGUCUUAACUGGGCGUUAAGUUGCAGGGUAUAGACCCGAAACCCGGUGAUCUAGCCAUGGGCAGGUUGAAGGUUGGGUAACACUAACUGGAGGACCGAACCGACUAAUGUUGAAAAAUUAGCGGAUGACUUGUGGCUGGGGGUGAAAGGCCAAUCAAACCGGGAGAUAGCUGGUUCUCCCCGAAAGCUAUUUAGGUAGCGCCUCGUGAAUUCAUCUUCGGGGGUAGAGCACUGUUUCGGCUAGGGGGUCAUCCCGACUUACCAACCCGAUGCAAACUACGAAUACCGAAGAAUGUUAUCACGGGAGACACACGGCGGGUGCUAACGUCCGUCGUGAAGAGGGAAACAACCCAGACCGCCAGCUAAGGUCCCAAAGUCAUGGUUAAGUGGGAAACGAUGUGGGAAGGCACAGACAGCCAGGAUGUUGGCUUAGAAGCAGCCAUCAUUUAAAGAAAGCGUAAUAGCUCACUGGUCGAGUCGGCCUGCGCGGAAGAUGUAACGGGGCUAAACCAUGCACCGAAGCUGCGGCAGCGACACUAUGUGUUGUUGGGUA